UAAACAUUCAGGAUCAAGUCUUUGAAGAAAUAUAAACUUUCAUUUUUCUUGGACAAAUACCUAGAAGUGGAAUGGCUGGCUCACAUUGUAGAUGUGUCAAGAUGCGGCCAAACUGCCUUCCAAGGUUCAUCCUGCUGCUCUCAGCUUUGGGAACAUUGUCUUUCUGACCUGAGCCCUUGAUGUCAAGGAGAUUGGGUGGACACAAGAGUGGAGAAGCUAAGUGUGAGCAGUGGUAAUGGUCAUGCCCCAAGCACUUCCUCUUCAAGCAGUGUCUUUUCAGAUUGAGAUGCAUCAAGAAGUUUCUUAGGUUCAUUUCUGUCACUGCCUUCUUCACCUUCAUUGGCCAUGUGCCCAAAUGGCAUACGCUGAGCCUUCUCCACCUGCAGAAUCUCAGGCUUGUUCUUCUCACCAGCUGUCUCAAGUUUUCCACUCCUCCAUGCUUGCUGACCUCGGACUGCAUUGAAUCUCUGAUCUAGCAGUUCCCAGGAUUUCACCUAUUUUUUUCCUGUAUGAUAUUAUAGCCCAUAUAAGUCUCCAGAGUAUAUGUGUGGAAUUCCCAAUAAACCAGCAAUAAAUCUUCCCUUUCCUCUCUGACUCAUAAAAGCCUAUUGGAAUGCAAAAAACUGGGAGUGACUUUUUUUAUAGGAAUAAUCUGCAAUCUGCUCUAAUUUAUGUUUUAAAACUUUAUUCUCAACUUCUUGUUCCUGCCCAAGAUGGAAUAGUGUGGAUGGAGUACAUUUCCCACUAAGAACAGUUAAAAGCCCUGGACAUUGUAUAUGAAACAAACAAGAGAAAACUGUGAAAGGCAGAGAGAAGAAGACAACUGACUAAGGACCUUGGGAUCUGAGGAAUGACAGGACAAUGAGUUCUCCGUGUUGUUUUUUUGUUUGUGUGUUUGGUUUGUUUGUUUGUCUUGCCUCAUAUAUCUUAGGCUAGAGAAGCUGGCAAACUAGAAACACCACAGGAACAAAUUUUUUAAAAACCCCAAGAAAUGCCUGCUCUCACUAGCUAAAGGACUGGGAAAGGGGCAACGUAGACAACUUUUAGACCAGUAACUACCCUAUUCUAGCCAAACCCUGCAGAAAAAAAAUGUGACCUCACCCCUGUCCCAGUCAGCAAAGGCUGAAAAGAGGGACUCCCACCUUCACCUGUUUGUUAGAAGGCAUCACUCAUGACCCCUCUAACCCCUGCUGGGGUGAUGUCAGAGAAGACCAAGUGGGGAGCCAGCACUUUCAUCCUGGCCUAGUUGACAGGUGACUAGCAAAAACAAAACAAACAAAACAACCCAACCAUGUGGAAGUGUAUUAUGCCAGGUUAAAAAAAAAAAAAAAAAGCCAGUCUCAAAAGGUCAUAUACUGUAUGCUUCCAUUAUAUAACAUCCUUGAAUAACAAAACUAUAGAGAUGGAAAACAGAUAGUGGUUGCCAGGGGUUAGAGAUAGUGGGGAUGGGGGAGGGGUAGGUGUGACUAUGAAGGAAGUUCAUGAGGGAGAUCUUUGUGGUAAUGGAAUAGUUCUGUAUCUUGAUGCUGGUGAUAGUUAUGGGAAACUGCACAUGUGAUAAAGUGGCACAGAACUAUACACACAUAUUGUACCAAUACCAAUUUCCUGGUUUUGAUAUUGUACUAUAGUUACAAGUUUAUAGCUCUUUUAUAAGUUACAGUUAUAAGAUGUAACCAUUGGGGGGAAAUGGGUGAAGGGUACAAAGGACUUUUCUGUACAGUUUUUACAACU
Molecule: long non-coding RNA, 1731 nt
Organism: Globicephala melas (long-finned pilot whale)
Lineage: Eukaryota; Metazoa; Chordata; Mammalia; Artiodactyla; Delphinidae
Source: RefSeq, a predicted model, not a curated record